This 110-nucleotide microRNA precursor is filed under the name Vitis vinifera (wine grape). RNAcentral's name for it is "MIR2275 microRNA precursor family". It matches the Rfam family "MIR2275 microRNA precursor family". Lineage: Eukaryota; Viridiplantae; Streptophyta; Magnoliopsida; Vitales; Vitaceae. The record is from Rfam by way of RNAcentral.
AUGUCGAAUGUGAGAAUUGGAGGAAACUAAAUAGAUUGCUAAUCCCAUUAUUCUGGUUUAAGCAAUAAGCACUUUCUAUUUAGUUUCCUCCAAUAUCUCAUCUCUGGCUU